UCCAUGAUAGAUCAAGGCUCCUGGAAUGGGCUUUGGUCCAAAGGGAUGGACAAGCAUGUUUUGCCCAUCUGCUCUAGGAUGGGGCUGCGGCCGAUCAGGUUGUUGGUGGGGUAAUGGCCCACCAAGCCUAUAACCGGUACGGGCCGUGAGAGCGGGAGCCCGGAGAUGGGCACUGAGACAAGGGCCCAGGUCCUACGGGGCGCAGCAGUUGCGAAAACUCCGCAAUGCGCGAAAGCGUGACGGGGCUAUCCCGAGUGCCGUCCGCUGAGGAUGGCUUUUCUCCGGUGUAAUGAGCCGGAGGAAUAAGGAGAGGGCAAGACUGGUGUCAGCCGCCGCGGUAAUACCAGCUCUCCGAGUGGUAGGGACGAUUAUUGGGCCUAAAGCGUCCGUAGCUGGUCAGGUAAGUGUCCCGUUAAAUCCGACGGCCUAACCGUUGGACUGCGGGAUAUACUGUUUGACUAGGGGACGGGAGAGGUCGACGGUAUUCCUGGAGUAGGGGUGAAAUCCUAUAAUCCCAGGAGGACCACCAGUGGCGAAGGCGGUCGACUAGAACGUGCCCGACAGUGAGGGACGAAAGCUGGGGGAGCGAACCGGAUUAGAUACCCGGGUAGUCCCAGCCGUAAACGAUGCGGGCUAGGUGUUGGAUCGGCUACGGGCCGAUCCAGUGCCGCAGGGAAGCCAUUAAGCCCGCCGCUUGGGUAGUACGGCCGCAAGGCUGAAACUUAAAGGAAUUGGCGGGGGGAGCACCACAAGGGGUGAAGCUUGCGGUU
RNAcentral lists this ribosomal RNA (770 nucleotides) under uncultured bacterium. Its description in RNAcentral is "bacterial SSU rRNA". It matches the Rfam family "Archaeal small subunit ribosomal RNA", at positions 150 to 902 of the family's 1478-position model. The record is from RNAcentral.